GUUAAUUCUACUGCACACUGCAGUAACAAAUACUCCAGGCGGAAGUUGAGAGUACUACAGAAGGAGCACUUCCCGCUAUUUUCCCAUUUUGAGAGCCAUGUAAGAAAAACAGAUUCUUUGUCAACAGACCGAAUGAUUGAAAAAUACAGAAUUAUAUAAAUAUGUAAAUCAUAAUGAACAUUCAAUCAUCAUUACUGUAGUAAGAUUCCAUUGUUAGCAAUAUUAAUUGCUCAAAUCAUCUUAAAUGUCGAGAAUAAUUCUUAUCUUCGUUAUAAUCGCAUUAUUUAUUGCCGCAAUUACUGCAGAACAGUGUAUAAAUUAUCAGGAAGACUGCUCACACGGUAGCAAUUGCUGUCAAGGCCUGGCUUGUAAGCGUAUACCUGAUUUGGGAAAUGUCUGCCUGUAUGAAGAUGAUGGACGAUUUGAAACAGUAUAAAUUGUAAAAAUUAAUCUGUAGAGAUGACUCGUGUACACAGACAAAGAAAUUAACUUGGUUCCAGUAAAUUAUUUUCUUCAAAAUAUUAUUCUUGUUUGAAAACAUCUAAACUAUCCCUGGUGGAAAUUUUUUGGACUUCUGUCUUAAAAAGUCUUUGGAACUCUAGAACUGAGUUUUUAAGACAGAAGUCCGAAAAAUUUCCACCAGAGAUUUAAUUAAAAAAAAAAUUCAAUCUUGAAUAAAUAAGU
This is a long non-coding RNA of Microplitis demolitor, 684 nucleotides long. RefSeq lists it as uncharacterized. The record is from RefSeq and is a predicted model, not a curated record. The transcript is spliced from 4 exons. NCBI's taxonomy places the organism in Eukaryota, Metazoa, Arthropoda, Insecta, Hymenoptera, Braconidae.